AUAGAACGCUGGCGGCAUGCCUUACACAUGCAAGUCGAACGGCAGCAUGAUCUAGCUUGCUAGAUUGAUGGCGAGUGGCGAACGGGUGAGUAAUACAUCGGAACGUGCCCUGUAGUGGGGGAUAACUAGUCGAAAGAUUAGCUAAUACCGCAUACGACCUGAGGGUGAAAGUGGGGGACCGCAAGGCCUCAUGCUAUAGGAGCGGCCGAUGUCUGAUUAGCUAGUUGGUGAGGUAAAGGCUCACCAAGGCGACGAUCAGUAGCUGGUCUGAGAGGACGAUCAGCCACACUGGGACUGAGACACGGCCCAGACUCCUACGGGAGGCAGCAGUGGGGAAUUUUGGACAAUGGGCGAAAGCCUGAUCCAGCAAUGCCGCGUGUGUGAAGAAGGCCUUCGGGUUGUAAAGCACUUUUGUCCGGAAAGAAAUGGCUCUGGUUAAUACCUGGGGUCGAUGACGGUACCGGAAGAAUAAGGACCGGCUAACUACGUG
This 490-nucleotide ribosomal RNA is filed under the name uncultured bacterium. Its description in RNAcentral is "partial 16S ribosomal RNA". It matches the Rfam family "Bacterial small subunit ribosomal RNA", at positions 31 to 507 of the family's 1533-position model. The record is from RNAcentral.